Molecule: ribosomal RNA, 551 nt
Filed under: Epichloe festucae var. lolii
Lineage: Eukaryota; Fungi; Ascomycota; Sordariomycetes; Hypocreales; Clavicipitaceae
Description: partial large subunit ribosomal RNA
Rfam family: Eukaryotic large subunit ribosomal RNA
Source: RNAcentral
AUAUCAAUAAGCGGAGGAAAAGAAACCACCAGGGAUUGCCCCAGUAACGGCGAGUGAAGCGGCAACAGCUCAAAUUUGAAAUCUGGCCCCCCGGGGCCCGAGUUGUAAUUUGCAGAGGAUGCUUUUGGCGAGGCGCCUUCCGAGUUCCCUGGAACGGGACGCCACAGAGGGUGAGAGCCCCGUCUGGUUGGAUGCCGAGCCUCUGUAAAGCUCCUUCGACGAGUCGAGUAGUUUGGGAAUGCUGCUCUAAAUGGGAGGUAUAUGUCUUCUAAAGCUAAAUAUUGGCCAGAGACCGAUAGCGCACAAGUAGAGUGAUCGAAAGAUGAAAAGCACUUUGAAAAGAGGGUUAAAUAGUACGUGAAAUUGUUGAAAGGGAAGCGCUCAUGACCAGACUUGGGCCCGGUGAAUCAUCCAGCGUUCUCGCUGGUGCACUUUGCCGGGCUCAGGCCAGCAUCAGUUCGCCCCGGGGGAGAAAGGCUCUGGGAAUGUGGCUCCUCCGGGAGUGUUAUAGCCCUCUGCGCAAUGCCCUGGGGCGGACUGAGGUCCGCGCG